CAACCACCUUCACCUUUUGGCUAAGAUCAAAGUGUAGUAUCUGUUCUUAUCAGCUUAAUAUCUGAUACGUUCCCCAUUGGGGGACCUCGAUAUUAAACUGAUUUUUGGACACAGAUGAGAUGUCAGGGGCUUGCUCUGUGGCUGGAGCCUGUGAAGUCCGCACAGGCUUAUCAGGGACAACAUUU
Molecule: small nuclear RNA, 185 nt
Organism: Dreissena polymorpha
Lineage: Eukaryota; Metazoa; Mollusca; Bivalvia; Myida; Dreissenidae
Product: U2 spliceosomal RNA
Exons: 1
Source: RefSeq, a predicted model, not a curated record